CCCUUAGAUGUCCUGGGCCGCACGCGCGUUACACUGAUGCAUUCAACGAGCUUAUAACCUUGGCCGAGAGGCCUGGGCAAUCUUGUUAACGUGCAUCGUGAUAGGGAUAGAUUAUUGAAAUUAUUAAUCUUGAACGAGGAAUUCCUAGUAAACGCAGAUCAUCAAUCUGCAUUGAUUACGUCCCCGCCCUUUGUACACACCGCCCGUCGCACCUACCGAUUGGAUGGUCCGGUGAAGCCUCGGGAUUGUGGUUCUUGCCGCUUUAUUGUGGCGUGACCGCGAGAACUUGUCUAAACCUUAUCAUCUAGAGGAAGGUGAAGUCGUAACA
RNAcentral lists this ribosomal RNA (328 nucleotides) under uncultured eukaryote. Its description in RNAcentral is "partial 18S ribosomal RNA". It matches the Rfam family "Eukaryotic small subunit ribosomal RNA", at positions 1470 to 1796 of the family's 1831-position model. The record is from RNAcentral.